CAGUCGCCGCGGUAAUACGUAGGGUGCGAGCGUUGUCCGGAAUUAUUGGGCGUAAAGGGCUCGUAGGCGGUUUGUCGCGUCGGGAGUGAAAACACUGGGCUUAACCGAGUGCUUGCUUUCGAUACGGGCAGACUAGAGGUAUGCAGGGGAGAACGGAAUUCCUGGUGUAGCGGUGAAAUGCGCAGAUAUCAGGAGGAACACCGGUGGCGAAGGCGGUUCUCUGGGCAUUACCUGACGCUGAGGAGCGAAAGUGUGGGGAGCGAACAGGAUUAGAUACCCCCGUAGUCCCUGUCUCUUAUAC
This 301-nucleotide ribosomal RNA is filed under the name uncultured bacterium. Its description in RNAcentral is "partial 16S ribosomal RNA". It matches the Rfam family "Bacterial small subunit ribosomal RNA", at positions 509 to 807 of the family's 1533-position model. The record is from RNAcentral.